Pan troglodytes (chimpanzee) is the source of this 148-nucleotide non-coding RNA. It matches the Rfam family "Metazoan signal recognition particle RNA". Rfam says of the family: The signal recognition particle (SRP) is a universally conserved ribonucleoprotein. It is involved in the co-translational targeting of proteins to membranes. Lineage: Eukaryota; Metazoa; Chordata; Mammalia; Primates; Hominidae. The record is from Rfam.
GCUGGGCAUGGUGGCGCGUGCCUGUAAUCCCAGCUACUCAGGAGGCUGAGGCAGGAGAAUCACUUGAACCCAGUAGGCAGAGGUUGCAGUGAGCCGAGAUUGCACCACUGCACUCCAGCCUGGGCAACAGAGUGAGACUCUGUCUCAA